GAGGAAAAGAAAAUAACAAUGAUUUCCCUAGUAACGGCGAGUGAAGAGGAAAGAGCUCAAAGUUGGAACCUGUUUGGCUUAGCUAAACCGGAUUGUAAACUGUAGAAGUGUUUUCCUGACACGCCUGGUAAAAAAGUCCUUUGGAACAGGGCAUCAUAGAGGGUGAGAAUCCCGUGUUUGGCCAGAGCUGUUGUCUUUUGUGAUACAUUUUCAAAGAGUCAGGUUGUUUGGGAAUGCAGCCUAAAUUGGGUGGUAAAUCUCACCUAAAGCUAAAUAUUUGCGAGAGACCGAUAGCGAACAAGUACCGUGAGGGAAAGAUGAAAAGAACUUUGAAAAGAGAGUUAAACAGUAUGUGAAAUUGUUAAAAGGGAACCGUUUGGAGCCAGACUGGCUUGACUGUAAUCAAUCUAGGCUUCGGCCUGGAUGCACUUGCGGUUUAUGCCUGCCAACGACAAUUUUUUUUGAGGGAAAAAACUAUUAGGAAUGUGGCCCCUCUCGGGGGGUGUUAUAGCCUUUUAGAAAAUACCUUGAAUUGGAUUGAGGAACGCAGUGAAUGCCUUUAGGCAAGAUUGCUGGGUGCUUUCGUUAAUAAAUGCUAGAAUUUCUGCUUCGGGUGGUGUUAGUGUUUAAAGAUGGAACUCGCCUAGUAUAUU
RNAcentral lists this ribosomal RNA (653 nucleotides) under Pilaira moreaui var. caucasica. RNAcentral describes it as "partial large subunit ribosomal RNA". It matches the Rfam family "Eukaryotic large subunit ribosomal RNA", at positions 53 to 613 of the family's 3401-position model. The record is from RNAcentral. Lineage: Eukaryota; Fungi; Mucoromycota; Mucoromycetes; Mucorales; Mucoraceae.